Molecule: ribosomal RNA, 305 nt
Filed under: uncultured bacterium
Lineage: Bacteria
Description: bacterial SSU rRNA
Rfam family: Bacterial small subunit ribosomal RNA
Source: RNAcentral
UUGCCUACGGGAGGCAGCAGUAGGGAAUCUUCCACAAUGGACGAAAGUCUGAUGGAGCAACGCCGCGUGAGUGAAGAAGGGUUUCGGCUCGUAAAGCUCUGUUGGUAGUGAAGAAAGAUAGAGGUAGUAACUGGCCUUUAUUUGACGGUAAUUACUUAGAAAGUCACGGCUAACUACGUGCCAGCAGCCGCGGUAAUACGUAGGUGGCAAGCGUUGUCCGGAUUUACUGGGUGUAAAGGGCGUGCAGCCGGAGAGACAAGUCAGAUGUGAAAUCCACGGGCUCAACCCGUGAACUGCAUUUGAAA